UUCACCGAACCAUUCGGAUGGAUUCGCGAGCCGGUUUGCCCUUCCGGAGUGAGUAGUGUAUGUCGAAGGGAUUAAUUUAUUUGCUGAGAAGCUGUAGCCGACGGAAAAUACGCAUGAUUUCUACGAAAAGAGGACUGAUUACCGCAAGGAGCCGUUUGCAUAAUCAGGAGACUCGGGAGAACACAAUUUAGGACUCGACGAAAACAGCUGCCUUGCGUGAUCUUAGUCGAUUUGCUCUGCUAUCUGUCUGUGUACUGACCAUCCGGCGAAAAUUGGCAAAGAAAAGGCUAAAACUGAUAUUCAGCAAGUCAACCGAAGAGGAGCUAUUGGCACGCAAGCAACGUGUGCACAGUGGACAACCGAGCAUGGUAGUCUCAGUGAUGAAAAUUUAAUACCAAGUGCUAUAAAUACCACGCCAAAACAAAAUCGUGAUUUACGAGAAGAAGCACAUUUGCAUCAAUGUGAUAGUUUCCUCUAUUUUUUGCUGUUUGUGUUUUUGUUUACCCAUCUUGCUCUGUCAAUGGAAAAGAAAACAAUUUUCUAAACGUUAUUAUUUUUGAAUCUCGUGCUCUGUGCUCCGUGUGAUUCUGUCCGGAUCGAUUUCGCCCAGUGUCACGUAGAACCUUCCUCCGAAGUGGCGAUACUAGUUUCAACCAGUCGCCAAUCGGUCUCGAAAACUGUUUUGGCAUGAAAAACCGCUUGUUUGGCAGCGAGCAUUGAUUCAGAUAAAAGUUGUUUGAUACAGCCAACAGCAGCCAAGUUCAUUGUGCGGACUAUGAACGAACCAACUGUUCACACCUUAACCCUAUUCAACCAGCGAAAGCCGUCCGAUAGCUACCAGUCGACCUUCUGAUGGAAUAAAUAAUAUAUACAACAGUUGCAAGGAAAAGCUAGAAGUUAGUUUAGCAGCAGUUUAGCAGCGGUGAGAAAAAGUCAGCUAACAAACACGCAAGAAAAAAAGUGAUUGAAUUGUAUGAGUGUAAAUAAUUGAACAGAAUGCAAGUGAGUCUCCCUAAAGAUAAUCCCAUUUGUACAUAGCACCUCGGCGCAUCGUUAGAUAGGUUUUGUAUGUAAAAAUUUUCAAAACAAAAACAAAAAAAAAACCAGUUCGGAAUUCGAAGAAUUGUUUGGCCCCAUAGUACGAGUAAUUAAGUAGUUAAAACACCCACUACCAAGAAUCAAGAUCUUCAAGCACAAGUGUUAUUGAGAAAAAAUUAUCUAGCGCUGCUGCUAUCGUAGUGAAGUGAAUCCUAGCCGGAGAAAAUGAUCAACAAGAGUUACCUGGUUCUGCCGCUACUCGGGCUGCUCUUCGGAUACGCAGCUGGCCUGGAGGAGGACUGUGUUGAUUUCCAGGGUAACUCGGUAGCCCACGGGUUGUUGUACGUACCUGGACCGGGCGUGUGCAGUCUGUGCGUGUGUUACCACUCAGAGCCGCUCUGGUGCAAAGCAAUCUACUGUGAUCCACCCUAUUUUUGUAAAAAGUUCCGCGUAGGGGAACGGUGCUGUGAAUUCGAAUGCUUAGAUCCGCCCGGAGAGGAUGAAAUGUAUCAGGUGUGCGUCAGUGAUUGUGAUGGUGUGGUUGCUGGUCGAGACUGAUCACAGUAGAGGCGCGCUGACGUUAACGCCAACACUCCCCCCAGGUGUGCGUCAGUGAUUGUGAUGGUGUGGUUGCUGGUCGAGACUGAUCACAGUAGAGGCGCGCUGACGUUAACGCCAACAGAUGGGGUAACUACUUUUUUGCAUCAGGAAUCAAGUUUUCGUUCCUCUUUAUAUGGACGUGCGUACGCGUGUACAAAAUUAGUAUCAGGGGGAAAUGGAAAUGUGGAUUGAGGCCCGCCUACGGAAGCGUGCUGAAAUCCUAGCUGGCAACAGCGCCAACCACCCACUGAGGACGUCCAGUACCGUGAACUACCUGCUAGGAACCACAGCAUUGCUGGGAAUAUUGUCCACUAGCUUAAGACGCAGGU
This is an RNA transcript of Toxorhynchites rutilus septentrionalis, 1967 nucleotides long. It is a transcript of the gene named integral membrane protein DGCR2/IDD-like, with no coding region annotated. The record is from RefSeq and is a predicted model, not a curated record. The transcript has 7 exons. NCBI's taxonomy places the organism in Eukaryota, Metazoa, Arthropoda, Insecta, Diptera, Culicidae.